Molecule: unclassified non-coding RNA, 351 nt
Filed under: soil metagenome
Description: partial contains 5.8S ribosomal RNA, internal transcribed spacer 2, and large subunit ribosomal RNA
Rfam family: 5.8S ribosomal RNA (bases 1-120)
Source: RNAcentral
GAUGAAGAACGUAGCGAAAUGCGAUAAGUAGUGUGAAUUGCAGAAUUCAGUGAAUCAUCGAAUCUUUGAACGCACAUUGCGCCCUUUGGUAUUCCAAAGGGCAUGCCUGUUCGAGCGUCAUUUGUACCUUCAAGCUUUGCUUGGUGUUGGGCGUUUUUUGUCUCCCUCUUUCUGGGAGACUCGCCUUAAAACGAUUGGCAGCCGGCCUACUGGUUUCGGAGCGCAGCACAUAUUUUGCGCUUUGUAUCAGGAGAAAAGGACGGUAAUCCAUCAAGACUCUACAUUUUUAACUUUUGACCUCGGAUCAGGUAGGGAUACCCGCUGAACUUAAGCAUAUCAAUAAGCGGAGGA